UUUAUCUUCGGAUAGAGAGACCGGCGCACGGGUGCGUAACGCGUAUGCAAUCUACCUUUUACAGAGGGAUAGCCCAGAGAAAUUUGGAUUAAUACCUCAUAGUAUAUAGACUCGGCAUCAAGAUUAUAUUAAAGUCACAACGGUAAAAGAUGAGCAUGCGUCCCAUUAGCUAGUUGGUAAGGUAACGGCUUACCAAGGCUACGAUGGGUAGGGGUCCUGAGAGGGAGAUCCCCCACACUGGUACUGAGACACGGACCAGACUCCUACGGGAGGCAGCAGUGAGGAAUAUUGGACAAUGGGCGCAAGCCUGAUCCAGCCAUGCCGCGUGCAGGAUGACGGUCCUAUGGAUUGUAAACUGCUUUUAUACGAGAAGAAACACUACUUCGUGAAGUAGCUUGACGGUAUCGUAAGAAUAAGGAUCGGCUAACUCCGUGCCAGCAGCCGCGGUAAUACGGAGGAUCCAAGCGUUAUCCGGAAUCAUUGGGUUUAAAGGGUCCGUAGGCGGUUUAAUAAGUCAGUGGUGAAAGCCCAUCGCUCAACGGUGGAACGGCCAUUGAUACUGUUAGACUUGAAUUAUUAGGAAGUAACUAGAAUAUGUAGUGUAGCGGUGAAAUGCUUAGAGAUUACAUGGAAUACCAAUUGCGAAGGCAGGUUACUACUAAUUGAUUGACGCUGAUGGACGAAAGCGUGGGUAGCGAACAGGAUUAGAUACCCUGGUAGUCCACGCCG
RNAcentral lists this ribosomal RNA (729 nucleotides) under Flavobacterium sp. Y4_254_8. RNAcentral describes it as "bacterial SSU rRNA". It matches the Rfam family "Bacterial small subunit ribosomal RNA", at positions 73 to 802 of the family's 1533-position model. Lineage: Bacteria; Pseudomonadati; Bacteroidota; Flavobacteriia; Flavobacteriales; Flavobacteriaceae. The record is from RNAcentral.